Molecule: ribosomal RNA, 400 nt
Filed under: Tolypocladium ophioglossoides
Lineage: Eukaryota; Fungi; Ascomycota; Sordariomycetes; Hypocreales; Ophiocordycipitaceae
Description: partial small subunit ribosomal RNA
Rfam family: Eukaryotic small subunit ribosomal RNA
Source: RNAcentral
GCUUGUCUCAAAGAUUAAGCCAUGCACGUGUAAGUAUAAAAUAACCUAUACUAUUGAAACUGCGAAUGGCUCAUUAUAUCAGUUAUAGUUUACAUGAUAAUAAUUUUCUACUUGGAUACCCGUGGUAAUUCUAGAGCUAAUACAUGCUAAAAAUCCCGACUUCGGAAGGGAUGUAUUUAUUAGAUUAAAAACCAAUGCCCUCUGGGCUCUCUGGUGAUUCAUGAUAACUUCUCGAAUCGCAUGGCCUUGCGCCGGCGAUGGUUCAUUCAAAUUUCUUCCCUAUCAACUUUCGAUGUUUGGGUAGUGGCCAAACAUGGUUGCAACGGGUAACGGAGGGUUAGGGCUCGACCCCGGAGAAGGAGCCUGAGAAACGGCUACUACAUCCAAGGAAGGCAGCAGG